This 921-nucleotide ribosomal RNA is filed under the name Neofusicoccum luteum. RNAcentral describes it as "eukaryotic LSU rRNA". The stretch from base 548 to 701 matches the Rfam family "5.8S ribosomal RNA". Lineage: Eukaryota; Fungi; Ascomycota; Dothideomycetes; Botryosphaeriales; Botryosphaeriaceae. The record is from RNAcentral.
UUCCUCUGCCGCUAUAAUCUUAAUGUUCUCCUUGCAACCCAGACCCUCCAGAGUUAUAUAGGGGGCGUUUUACUCCGCCCUUUUAAGAUGUCCCCGCCGCGCGUAUCAAGCCGCUCACCCACAGGCCGGAGCCGACUACUGUGGGGUCGUCCGCGGUUAAAGUGGUGUUCUUCUCCGACUUUCACCUCAUUAUUGGCGAUGGGCGCUAUCUGCGUCGGACCGGAAAGUCUCAUCACUUCACCCCUGCCAAAUCACUUUCCCUCACUACAAGGCUAUGAUCCCCCCCGCGAGCCCAGAAACCCCUUAAUCCAUGGGAAGUAAAAAAUCGUAACAAGGUUUCCGUAGGUGAACCUGCGGAAGGAUCAUUACCGAGUUGAUUCGAGCUCCGGCUCGACUCUCCCACCCCAUGUGUACCUACCUCUGUUGCUUUGGCGGGCCGCGGUCCUCCGCACCGACCCCCGUUCGGGGGGCCGGCCAGCGCCCGCCAGAGGACCACAAAACUCCAGUCAGUAAACGUCGCAGUCUGAGAAACAAGUUAAUAAACUAAAACUUUCAACAACGGAUCUCUUGGUUCUGGCAUCGAUGAAGAACGCAGCGAAAUGCGAUAAGUAAUGUGAAUUGCAGAAUUCAGUGAAUCAUCGAAUCUUUGAACGCACAUUGCGCCCCUUGGUAUUCCGAGGGGCAUGCCUGUUCGAGCGUCAUUUCAACCCUCAAGCUCUGCUUGGUAUUGGGCUCCGUCCUCUGUGGACGCGCCUCGAAGACCUCGGCGGUGGCGUCUUGCCUCAAGCGUAGUAGAAAACACCUCGCUUUGGAGCGCACGGCGUCGCCCGCCGGACGAACCUUUGAAUUUUUCUCAAGGUUGACCUCGGAUCAGGUAGGGAUACCCGCUGAACUUAAGCAUAUCAAAGGCCCCGAGAGGAA